UGCAAGUCGAGCGAAUGGAUUAAGAGCUUGCUCUUAUGAAGUUAGCGGCGGACGGGUGAGUAACACGUGGGUAACCUGCCCAUAAGACUGGGAUAACUCCGGGAAACCGGGGCUAAUACCGGAUAACAUUUUGAACCGCAUGGUUCGAAAUUGAAAGGCGGCUUCGGCUGUCACUUAUGGAUGGACCCGCGUCGCAUUAGCUAGUUGGUGAGGUAACGGCUCACCAAGGCAACGAUGCGUAGCCGACCUGAGAGGGUGAUCGGCCACACUGGGACUGAGACACGGCCCAGACUCCUACGGGAGGCAGCAGUAGGGAAUCUUCCGCAAUGGACGAAAGUCUGACGGAGCAACGCCGCGUGAGUGAUGAAGGCUUUCGGGUCGUAAAACUCUGUUGUUAGGGAAGAACAAGUGCUAGUUGAAUAAGCUGGCACCUUGACGGUACCUAACCAGAAAGCCACGGCUAACUACGUGCCAGCAGCCGCGGUAAUACGUAGGUGGCAAGCGUUAUCCGGAAUUAUUGGGCGUAAAGCGCGCGCAGGUGGUUUCUUAAGUCUGAUGUGAAAGCCCACGGCUCAACCGUGGAGGGUCAUUGGAAACUGGGAGACUUGAGUGCAGAAGAGGAGAGUGGAAUUCCAUGUGUAGCGGUGAAAUGCGUAGAGAUAUGGAGGAACACCAGUGGCGAAAGCGACUUUCUGGUCUGUAACUGACACUGAGGCGCGAAAGCGUGGGGAGCAAA
Molecule: ribosomal RNA, 736 nt
Filed under: Bacillus sp. PSu2_23
Lineage: Bacteria; Bacillati; Bacillota; Bacilli; Caryophanales; Bacillaceae
Description: bacterial SSU rRNA
Rfam family: Bacterial small subunit ribosomal RNA
Source: RNAcentral